GCAAUCUCCUAAAUAUACUGGAUCCAAAAAUUCUUCUCUUUCCCUCCUCCAAAUCCCCACCCAUCUCCUCUCACAGAUAAGAGCUCUCUAAUUCCCUCUCUGUGCUCUAUGCUGACUUUUGUGUCAUGCCACCAAGUGUUUUAAAUGCUGCUUGAUUAAAGCAAUGAACUGCAGUGAGAGUAGGCUUGCUAAUGGCUACUCCAUUUCCAAGAGCACAAUGAUUGUCUGCCUUGGCACUCAGAAGCACUUAGCAAAGCCAUGAUCAGAUACCAAGGAGAGCAGGGAUAGGAGCUGGACUGAGCUUCUUCGUCUAUUUGGUCAACAGUGGUAGAUGUGUUCUUAUCAGUGACCAAACGUCCCUGGUUUAUACCCUUGACCCCCCCCAGUUUCCUCCUCUCAGUUUUAGUUUUGUGUUAUUAUAAACUUGGAGAGACUGAACAUUGUAAGGCAGGACCAACAAAGAAGAGACAGAUGAUCCUGUCCUGCUUGUAAGUCGAGUGGGGCUGAUGCAGUGAGCUGAGUCUCUGGAUUAGGAACACGGAAUGACAAAGGAAAAUCAAGGUCCAAGAGCUCUGGAAACACAGGGUAAAGCAAGAAAAUUUCUCAGCUGUACACCCACAGAUAGUUGAAACAGUUGUCCAAAGGUUGAUGAAUAACCACCAAGAAUCAGAUACAGAGGAAGCUCUUCAAAACAAAAAAUGUCUGAAUGCUGCUUUGUUUCAGAGGCAGCUCAUGUAUGUAAGGAAAGCUCUUGCAAAAUCUCAAGCAGACACUGUCAAGCUAAAGAAAUGGCUAUAUAAACUGGUAUCUGAAUUCUCCUCUCCAUCUCACUUGCUUUAAUGAGCAAUUUGCCUGCUAUUAUUCUAUGAGAGAAAUGGAUUAAAACCUAACUACAUAAUACUGUUAAUGGAGUUGGAUGUGCAUUUUACGGCUUUGAAGCAAUGUGUUUGUCUGAGUGUUCUCACCAUCCCAGGCAGAGAGAACUAAGGAAAAAAACUCUUGGAAGAAGUUUGAGUUACAUACCAAAAUGACACCUACAGGUACGACAUUUACAUCUAUCAUCAACAGUGCUGGGUGUAUCUUUUAGUAGCACAAAAGACACUACUAAUAUUUUAUUCCACAGAUUAAAAAAAAUUAAAUUACAGAUCAUGAGGUUAUUAGUCUUCUACACAAACAUUAAAUUUCAAGGGAACAUUCAGGCCGUUGUCAGUAAAAUCAGAAUAAAUUAAUAAAAUGGUUUUUUGGUUGGGAUUUU
Molecule: long non-coding RNA, 1255 nt
Filed under: Parus major (Great Tit)
Lineage: Eukaryota; Metazoa; Chordata; Aves; Passeriformes; Paridae
Description: lncRNA (ENSPMJG00000015307.1)
Source: RNAcentral